This 253-nucleotide ribosomal RNA is filed under the name uncultured bacterium. Its description in RNAcentral is "partial 16S ribosomal RNA". It matches the Rfam family "Bacterial small subunit ribosomal RNA", at positions 524 to 776 of the family's 1533-position model. The record is from RNAcentral.
UACAGAGGGGGCAAGCGUUGUUCGGAAUUACUGGGCGUAAAGGGCGCGUAGGCGGCCUGCUAAGUCGAACGUGAAAUCCCUGGGCUCAACCCAGGAACUGCGUCCGAUACUGGUUGGCUUGAAUCCGGGAGAGGGACGUGGAAUUCCAGGUGUAGCGGUGAAAUGCGUAGAUAUCUGGAGGAACACCGGUGGCGAAGGCGACGUCCUGGACCGGUAUUGACGCUGAGGCGCGAAAGCCAGGGGAGCGAACAGG